Molecule: long non-coding RNA, 333 nt
Filed under: Hordeum vulgare
Lineage: Eukaryota; Viridiplantae; Streptophyta; Magnoliopsida; Poales; Poaceae
Description: long non-coding RNA (HVUL_LNC000937)
Source: RNAcentral
ACGGAUGAAAAAACGAAGGAAGACAAUGUCUGCCCUGCUAUUCCUGGGCUGCUGGUGUGGAACUCAUCCUAUGAUAAUCGAGGAAGUAGAAGAAGAAGAAGAAGAAGAAGAAGAAGAAUAAGAAGAAGAAGAAGAAAAAGGAGGAGAAGAAGAAGAAGUAGAAGAAGAAGAAGAAGAAGUCCAAACAGAUCAAGCAUCGAUCUGACGUCAAAGCAUCAAAUUACCUAUACCUGUACCUGUUGUUGUGGUAAUCUGUGAGACACAUGGACUCAAUAGCCCAUUACCAAGGGUAUAAAGACUAUCAAAGCUUCAUGGGUGGGGAAUGAUUAAGUG